UACGAAGGGGGCUAGCGUUGCUCGGAAUCACUGGGCGUAAAGCGCACGUAGGCGGACUCUUAAGUCGGUGGUGAAAUCCUGGAGCUCAACUCCAGAACUGCCUUCGAUACUGAGAGUCUCGAGUCCGAGAGAGGUGAGUGGAACUGCGAGUGUAGAGGUGAAAUUCGUAGAUAUUCGCAAGAACACCAGUGGCGAAGGCGGGUCUCUGGGCCGUAACUGACGCUGAGGAGCGAAAGCGU
RNAcentral lists this ribosomal RNA (239 nucleotides) under uncultured bacterium. RNAcentral's name for it is "partial 16S ribosomal RNA". It matches the Rfam family "Bacterial small subunit ribosomal RNA", at positions 524 to 762 of the family's 1533-position model. The record is from RNAcentral.